GGAAUAUUGGACAAUGGGCGAAAGCCUGACCCAGCAACGCCGCGUGAAGGAUGAAAUCCCCCGGGAUGUAAACUUCGCAAGAACGGGAAGAAUAAGUUGGUGUGAAUAUCACCAACGAUGACGGUACCGUUUGUAAGCUCCUGCUAACUCCGUCACAGCAGCCGCGGUAAUACGGGGGGAGCAAGCGUUGUUCGGAUUUACUGGGCGUAAAGGGCGCGUAGGCGGCACUGCAAGUCGACUGUGAAAUCUCCGGGCUUAACUCGGAAAGGUCAGCCGAUACUGCGGGGCUAGAGUGCAGAAGGGGCAACUGGAAUUCUCGGUGUAGCGGUGAAAUGCGUAGAUAUCGAGAGGAACACCUGCGGCGAAGGCGGGUUGCUGGGCUGACACUGACGCUGAGGCGCGAAAGCUAGGGGAGCGAA
This 419-nucleotide ribosomal RNA is filed under the name uncultured bacterium. RNAcentral's name for it is "bacterial SSU rRNA". It matches the Rfam family "Bacterial small subunit ribosomal RNA", at positions 358 to 772 of the family's 1533-position model. The record is from RNAcentral.